This 490-nucleotide small RNA is filed under the name Histoplasma capsulatum var. duboisii H88. RNAcentral describes it as "Histoplasma capsulatum H88 hypothetical RNA". Lineage: Eukaryota; Fungi; Ascomycota; Eurotiomycetes; Onygenales; Ajellomycetaceae. The record is from RNAcentral.
GCCUGAAAGAUUGCUAUCGUGAGCAAACCCCGAUAUGUGCAUUGUGGUGUGUAAGGGAUUCUUUACCUAUCUUCUUGUGAUAGUUUAUAAUGCCGACGACGUUAUAUGUGCGUGCCAGAAGUCUGGUUGAACGAUCCAGGGCAGACAUACUGGGGCAAUCAAGCAUUCUUAUACCAAUCCGUCCAAUUCUUACUACAAGGAAAACGGAAAAAAAAGAAAAAAAAUCAAAAACACAAAGUAUAUUGAAACAAUCUAUUUGACUGGCUGCCCCCUACCAAAGUAGUAAGAAGCCAUACUUUUUUUUUUGCGAGGAACAGUAGAUUCACAAGAUCAACAAACAACAGUGGGAUAGCGGCAACAACAGUGAGUCUAGACUUUGAAAAUGAGGAAAAUAAUCUUAGCAGCUCCAUUUACUCAAAUUUGGUCACAUAAUGCUAAUAAUCCAAUCAGCUAGAAAAGAAGGAGUCAAAAUUGUACUGGAAUAACUGGC